GACUCGUCACACUAUCAUUAACUGAAUCCAUAGGUUAAUGAGGCGAACCGGGGGAACUGAAACAUCUAAGUACCCCGAGGAAAAGAAAUCAACCGAGAUUCCCCCAGUAGCGGCGAGCGAACGGGGAGGAGCCCAGAGCCUGAAUCAGCAUGUGUGUUAGUGGAAGCGUCUGGAAAGGCGCGCGAUACAGGGUGACAGCCCCGUACACAAAAGCGCAUGUGCUGUGAGCUCGAUGAGUAGGGCGGGACACGUGGUAUCCUGUCUGAAUAUGGGGGGACCAUCCUCCAAGGCUAAAUACUCCUGACUGACCGAUAGUGAACCAGUACCGUGAGGGAAAGGCGAAAAGAACCCCGGCGAGGGGAGUGAAAAAGAACCUGAAACCGUGUACGUACAAGCAGUGGGAGCACCCUUUGGGGUGUGACUGCGUACCUUUUGUAUAAUGGGUCAGCGACUUAUAUUCUGUAGCAAGGUUAACCGAAUAGGGGAGCCGGAGGGAAACCGAGUCUUAAUUGGGCGUUAAGUUGCAGGGUAUAGACCCGAAACCCGGUGAUCUAGCCAUGGGCAGGUUGAAGGUUGGGUAACACUAACUGGAGGACCGAACCGACUAAUGUUGAAAAAUUAGCGGAUGACCUGUGGCUGGGGGUGAAAGGCCAAUCAAACCGGGAGAUAGCUGGUUCUCCCCGAAAGCUAUUUAGGUAGCGCCUCGUGAAUUCAUCUCCGGGGGUAGAGCACUGUUUCGGCUAGGGGGCCAUCCCGGCUUACCAACCCGAUGCAAACUGCGAAUACCGGAGAAUGUUAUCACGGGAGACACACGGCGGGUGCUAACGUCCGUCGUGAAGAGGGAAACAACCCAGACCGCCAGCUAAGGUCCCAAAGUCAUGGUUAAGUGGGAAACGAUGUGGGAAGGCCCAGACAGCCAGGAUGUUGGCUUAGAAGCAGCCAUCAUUUAAAGAAAGCGUAAUAGCUCACUGGUCGAGUCGGCCUGCGCGGAAGAUGUAACGGGGCUAAACCAUGCACCGAAGCUGCGGCAGCGAACGUAUCACUUAAAGCGAUUCAGCGGGUUACGAUUGACGGAGCGAAGCGACGUCAAAGCGUAUACAAAGUCGAGUCGGUUUA
This 1116-nucleotide ribosomal RNA is filed under the name Salmonella enterica. RNAcentral's name for it is "partial 23S ribosomal RNA". It matches the Rfam family "Bacterial large subunit ribosomal RNA", at positions 137 to 1274 of the family's 2925-position model. The record is from RNAcentral. Lineage: Bacteria; Pseudomonadati; Pseudomonadota; Gammaproteobacteria; Enterobacterales; Enterobacteriaceae.